UGCGGAGGGAUCAUUACACAAAUUAAAAUAUGAAGGCUUCGGCUGGAUUGUUUUUAUCACCCUUGUCUUUUGCGCACUUGUUGUUUCCUGGGCGGGUUCGCCCGCCACCAGGACCACACCAUAAACCUUUUUUAUGCAGUUGCAAUCAGCGUCAGUAUAACAAAUGUAAAUCAUUUACAACUUUCAACAACGGAUCUCUUGGUUCUGGCAUCGAUGAAGAACGCAGCGAAAUGCGAUACGUAGUGUGAAUUGCAGAAUUCAGUGAAUCAUCGAAUCUUUGAACGCACAUUGCGCCCUUUGGUAUUCCAAAGGGCAUGCCUGUUCGAGCGUCAUUUGUACCCUCAAGCUUUGCUUGGUGUUGGGCGUCUUUUGUCUUUGGCCUCGCCCAAAGACUCGCCUUAAAACGAUUGGCAGCCGGCCUACUGGUUUCGCAGCGCAGCACAUUUUUGCGCUUGCAAUCAGCAAAAAGGACGGCAAUCCAUCAAGACUACAUUUUUACGAUCGACCUCGGAUCAGUUCCUGAUACCCGCUGAACUUAAGCAUAU
This 545-nucleotide ribosomal RNA is filed under the name Curvularia aeria. Its description in RNAcentral is "eukaryotic LSU rRNA". The stretch from base 179 to 332 matches the Rfam family "5.8S ribosomal RNA". The record is from RNAcentral. Lineage: Eukaryota; Fungi; Ascomycota; Dothideomycetes; Pleosporales; Pleosporaceae.